GAUGAAGAACGUAGCGAAAUGUGAUAAGUAAUGUGAAUUGCAGAAUUCAGUGAAUCAUCGAAUCUUUGAACGCACAUUGCGCCCGCCAGUAUUCUGGCGGGCAUGCCUGUUCGAGCGUCAUUACAACCCUCAGGCCCCCGGGCCUGGCGUUGGGGAUCGGCAGAAGCCCCCUGUGGGCACACGCCGUCCCUCAAAUACAGUGGCGGUCCCGCCGCAGCUUCCAUUGCGUAGUAGCUAACACCUCGCAACUGGAGAGCGGCGCGGCCAUGCCGUAAAACACCCAACUUCUGAAUGUUGACCUCGAAUCAGGUAGGAAUACCCGCUGAACUUAAGCAUAUCAAUAAGCGGAGGA
This 352-nucleotide unclassified non-coding RNA is filed under the name soil metagenome. RNAcentral's name for it is "partial contains 5.8S ribosomal RNA, internal transcribed spacer 2, and large subunit ribosomal RNA". The stretch from base 1 to 120 matches the Rfam family "5.8S ribosomal RNA", at positions 35 to 154 of the family's 154-position model. The record is from RNAcentral.